UCCGGUUUGUCACCGGCAGUCUCAAUAGAGUGCCCUUGCGUAGCAACUAUUGAUAAGGGUUGCGCUCGUUGCGGGACUUAACCCAACAUCUCACGACACGAGCUGACGACAACCAUGCACCACCUGUCUUCCUGCCCCGAAGGGCUUCAUGCAUCUCUGCACUAUUCAGGAGAUGUCAAGUCUAGGUAAGGUUCUUCGCGUUGCUUCGAAUUAAACCACAUGCUCCGCUGCUUGUGCGGGCCCCCGUCAAUUCCUUUGAGUUUCAGCCUUGCGGCCGUACUCCCCAGGCGGGGCACUUACUGCGUUAGCUUCGGCACGGAGCGGGUCGAACGCCGCCCCACACCUAGCACCCAACGUUUACGGCUAGGACUAC
This 373-nucleotide unclassified non-coding RNA is filed under the name uncultured bacterium. RNAcentral describes it as "contains 16S-23S intergenic spacer region". The record is from RNAcentral.